RNAcentral lists this ribosomal RNA (468 nucleotides) under uncultured bacterium. RNAcentral describes it as "bacterial SSU rRNA". It matches the Rfam family "Bacterial small subunit ribosomal RNA", at positions 28 to 477 of the family's 1533-position model. The record is from RNAcentral.
GAUGAACGCUGGCGGCGUGCCUAAUACAUGCAAGUCGAGCGCGAAGACGAGGAGCUUGCUCCUCUGAUUUGAGCGGCGGACGGGUGAGUAACACGUAGGCAACCUACCCUUGAGAUUGGGAUAACUACCGGAAACGGUAGCUAAUACCGGAUACGACACUACCACACAAGUGGAAUUGUUAAAAGGCGGAUUUAUCUGCCGCUCAUGGAUGGGCCUGCGGUGCAUUAGCUAGUUGGUGAGAUAGUAGCUCACCAAGGCGACGAUGCAUAGCCGACCUGAGAGGGUGAUCGGCCACACUGGGACUGAGACACGGCCCAGACUCCUACGGGAGGCAGCAGUAGGGAAUCUUCCGCAAUGGACGCAAGUCUGACGGAGCAACGCCGCGUGAGUGAUGAAGGGUUUCGGCUCGUAAAACUCUGUUGUUAAGGAAGAACACUUGAGGUAGUAACUGGCCUUGAGAUGACGGUA